RNAcentral lists this ribosomal RNA (440 nucleotides) under uncultured bacterium. RNAcentral's name for it is "partial 16S ribosomal RNA". It matches the Rfam family "Bacterial small subunit ribosomal RNA", at positions 338 to 795 of the family's 1533-position model. The record is from RNAcentral.
CCUACGGGUGGCAGCAGUGGGGGAUAUUGCACAAUGGGGGAAACCCUGAUGCAGCGACGCCGCGUGUGGGAAGAAGGUUUUCGGAUUGUAAACCACUGUUCUUGGUGAAGAUAAUGACGGUAACCAAGGAGAAAGCUCCGGCUAACUACGUGCCAGCAGCCGCGGUAAUACGUAGGGGGCAAGCGUUGUCCGGAUUUACUGGGUGUAAAGGGUGCGUAGGCGGGCUUGCAAGUCAGACGUGAAAACCACAGGCGCAACCUGUGGACUGCGUUUGAAACUGCUGUUCUUGAGUGAAGUAGAGGUAAGCGGAAUUCCUAGUGUAGCGGUGAAAUGCGUAGAUAUUAGGAGGAACAUCGGUGGCGAAGGCGGCUUACUGGGCUUUUACUGACGCUGAGGCUCGAAAGCGUGGGGAGCAAACAGGAUUAGAUACCCUUGUAGUC